Molecule: ribosomal RNA, 253 nt
Filed under: uncultured bacterium
Lineage: Bacteria
Description: partial 16S ribosomal RNA
Rfam family: Bacterial small subunit ribosomal RNA
Source: RNAcentral
UACGGAGGGUGCAAGCGUUAUCCGGAUUUACUGGGUUUAAAGGGUGCGUAGGCGGGCCUUUAAGUCAGUGGUGAAAGCUCCGAGCUUAACUCGGAAACUGCCAUUGAUACUAUUGGUCUUGAAUUCGGUCGAGGUUGGCGGAAUGUGUCGUGUAGCGGUGAAAUGCUUAGAUAUGACACAGAACACCGAUUGCGAAGGCAGCUAGCUAGACCGACAUUGACGCUGAAGCACGAAAGCGUGGGGAUCAAACAGG